CUCUCUCUCUCUCUCUCUCUUUCCUCCUAGUCAUGGACUUGUUGUAUGUUGAGAACCAUGCCAAGAGGAGGAGGAAGAUGAGGAGCAACCUCGAUCAGGAUGAUCCACCAUCAACUGGAAUGGAACAUCUACCCCUUGAGAUCGUCCAUGAUAUACUUUCAAGAUUACCCAUCUCUUCUUUGGUGCAAUUCAGGUGUGUUUGUAAAGCUUGGAGAGCCUUAGCACAAGAUCCUCACCUUGUAAAAUUCUAUCUCUCAACUUCAACAACCAAAGAUCCUUGCCUAAUCCUUCACUGCGAUUUUCCCAUCAGGAACCAGCUUUACUUCGUGGAUUUGGCUGCUGCUCCCCACCAAGGAAAAGACAAGGUAAAAAGAAUCAAUGCACCCUUUUGGCCUAUGAUGCCUGAAUUCGAUGUGGUAGGCUCCUGUAAUGGUUUACUUUGUUUAGCUGACUCGCUAUACAAUGAUGCUGUUUAUGUUUACAACCCUUUCACUAGGAACCAUGUAGAGCUCCCAAAAUCGCUGAAAUAUCCUGACCAAGAAGUGGUUUUUGGGUUCGGAUUCCAUCCCAAAACUCAGGAAUACAAGGUAGUAAAGAUUGUAUACUAUAGGAAUGGUCAUAGUAGUUACCCUCGAGCCCGUAGGCUCGUCUAUUCACAAUCUGAAGUCCAAAUUCUAACUCUAGGCAGCCCCAGUUGGCGGAGUCUAGGCAAGAUAUCAUACCAGCUUGUUCGCCGCCCGUCGGAGGCCUUGGUUAAUGGAAGACUUCAUUGGGUUAGUCGACCCCGGAGAUAUAACCCUGCUCGGCGGCUAGUUUCACUUGACUUAGCUGAUGAGCAAUUCAGGGAAGUCCCGAAGCCAGACUGCGGUGGCCUGAGUAAAUGCAACUAUCAUCUUGUUGUGCUGAAAGGGUGCCUUUCUGCUGCUGUGUAUUGCAGCUACGGAAGAUUGGAGAUUUGGGUGAUGAAGGAGUAUAAUGUGAAGGAAUCUUGGGUAAAAGAAUACAGUAUUGGAGCUUAUAUGCCAAAGGGAUUGAAGCAAAAUCUUGACAGGCCUUCCAAGAUUUGGAAGAAUGCUUUGAAUGGAAUAGUUGUUAGAGUUUUAGGCCUUUUGCAGAAUGGUGAGGUUUUGUUGGAGUACAAAAGCAGAGUUCUUGUUACUUACGAUCCAAAUCAAGGAAAGUUUAAGGACCUCACAUUACAAGGGAUACCUAAAUGGUUUCAAACAGUGGUUCACGCAGGCAGCCUCAAUUGGAUUAAUACUCCCAUUGAUACAUAGAAGUUGAUGAUGAUUUCUUCUCCUGUGAGUUUAAAAAUCUUCUGCUCGUGUUCAUUAGUGUCGUAUUAUCAUAUCAAGUUAAUCACAUCCAUGCUUAAUCAAUUAAUUCCUUGUUUGUAUAGAUGAAAUUCAAUCCAUUACCAGAAAUACACUCAUUCUCUAUUGAAUCAGCAAGAUCUUUCUUCAGUCUUAACCAAUCUCAUUGCUUAGAUUGAAAUCCUCAGGAUUAUUUUGUGAAAUGUUUCAUAUGAUUCUAUGGAAAUCUCAGAACUUGUAAUAAUUAGAUUGUCCUCAUUCAAGAGAAGAAAAAUGGUUGAUCUGUGUACAAAUAAUAGAGUUGAGAUUGGAAAGAGCAAAAAAGUCAAAAG
RNAcentral lists this unclassified non-coding RNA (1645 nucleotides) under Hevea brasiliensis (rubber tree). The record is from RNAcentral. Lineage: Eukaryota; Viridiplantae; Streptophyta; Magnoliopsida; Malpighiales; Euphorbiaceae.